This 207-nucleotide ribosomal RNA is filed under the name Streptomyces sp. XY431. RNAcentral describes it as "partial 23S ribosomal RNA". It matches the Rfam family "Bacterial large subunit ribosomal RNA", at positions 1556 to 1765 of the family's 2925-position model. The record is from RNAcentral. Lineage: Bacteria; Bacillati; Actinomycetota; Actinomycetes; Kitasatosporales; Streptomycetaceae.
CUGAGACCUGAUGCCGAGCCGAUUGUGGUGAAGUGGAUGAUCCUAUGCUGUCGAGAAAAGCCUCUAGCGAGUUUCAUGGCGGCCCGUACCCCAAACCGACUCAGGUGGUCAGGUAGAGAAUACCGAGGCGUUCGGGUGAACUAUGGUUAAGGAACUCGGCAAAAUGCCCCCGUAACUUCGGGAGAAGGGGGGCCAUUCCUGGUGACG